GCCCAGUGAGAGCCGUCGCUGCGAGACUACUAAGGCCUGCUGGCCCCCAUUCUCGCGGGAAGGUCUGAGUCAGUGCGCGGUUCUGCACCGCCGCGAGGGCGGAGUUGCUCAUGCAACUGAGAGUAACAGAAACUUCUUCCGCGGCGCCCUUUACCGCGUGAAGGACGUCUUCGGACGUCCGAUGGUGGGCGACGUGGACAUGAGAAGGCUCUCAGCACGCGCGUAUAGCGAGAUCGGCGGUAUUACCCAAUUCAGACUAUCCUCGCGGGC
RNAcentral lists this RNase P RNA (270 nucleotides) under Schistocephalus solidus. RNAcentral's name for it is "Nuclear RNase P". It matches the Rfam family "Nuclear RNase P". From Rfam's summary of the family: Ribonuclease P (RNase P) is a ubiquitous endoribonuclease, found in archaea, bacteria and eukarya as well as chloroplasts and mitochondria. Its best characterised activity is the generation of mature 5'-ends of tRNAs by cleaving the 5'-leader elements of precursor-tRNAs. Cellular RNase Ps are ribonucleoproteins. Lineage: Eukaryota; Metazoa; Platyhelminthes; Cestoda; Diphyllobothriidea; Diphyllobothriidae. The record is from Rfam by way of RNAcentral.